AUACGUAGGGGGCGAGCGUUGUCCGGAAUGAUUGGGCGUAAAGGGCGCGUAGGCGGCCCGGUAAGUCUGGAGUGAAAGUCCUGCUUUUAAGGUGGGAAUUGCUUUGGAUACUGUCGGGCUUGAGUGCAGGAGAGGUAAGUGGAAUUCCCAGUGUAGCGGUGAAAUGCGUAGAGAUUGGGAGGAACACCAGUGGCGAAGGCGACUUACUGGACUGUAACUGACGCUGAGGCGCGAAAGUGUGGGGAGCAAACAGGAUUAGAUACCCUGGUGGUCCACACUGUAAACGAUGAAUGCUAGGUGUAGGGGGUAUCGACCCCUUCUGUGCCGCAGUUAACACAAUAAGCAUUCCGCCUGGGGAGUACGGCCGCAAGGUUGAAACUCAAAUGAAUUGGCGGGG
Molecule: ribosomal RNA, 397 nt
Filed under: uncultured bacterium
Lineage: Bacteria
Description: partial 16S ribosomal RNA
Rfam family: Bacterial small subunit ribosomal RNA
Source: RNAcentral